AGCGAACGCUGGCGGCAGGCUUAACACAUGCAAGUCGAGCGGGCAUCCUUGUGGUGUCAGCGGCAGACGGGUGAGUAACGCGUGGGAACGUGCCCUUCGGUUCGGAAUAACUCAGGGAAACUUGAGCUAAUACCGGGUACGUGCGAGAGCAGAAAGGUUUAUCUGCCGAAGGAUCGGCCCGCGUCUGAUUAGCUAGUUGGUGAGGUUACGGCUCACCAGGGCGACGAUCAGUAGCUGGUCUGAGAGGAUGAUCAGCCACACUGGGACUGAGACACGGCCCAGACUCCUACGGGAGGCAGCAGUGGGGAAUAUUGGACAAUGGGGGCAACCCUGAUCCAGCCAUGCCGCGUGAGUGAUGACGGCCUUAGGGUUGUAAAGCUCUUUUCUCCGGGACGAUAAUGACGGUACCGGAGGAAUAAGCCCCGGCUAACUUCGUG
RNAcentral lists this ribosomal RNA (437 nucleotides) under uncultured bacterium. Its description in RNAcentral is "partial 16S ribosomal RNA". It matches the Rfam family "Bacterial small subunit ribosomal RNA", at positions 29 to 507 of the family's 1533-position model. The record is from RNAcentral.